This 229-nucleotide ribosomal RNA is filed under the name uncultured bacterium. RNAcentral describes it as "partial 16S ribosomal RNA". It matches the Rfam family "Bacterial small subunit ribosomal RNA", at positions 568 to 796 of the family's 1533-position model. The record is from RNAcentral.
UGCGCAGGCGGACUAUUAAGUCAGUGGUGAAAUCUCCCGGCUCAACCGGGAAACUGCCAUUGAUACUGAUAGUCUUGAGUAUAGUUGUAGUGGGCGGAAUAUAGCAUGUAGCGGUGAAAUGCUUAGAUAUGCUAUAGUACACCGAUCGCGAAGGCAGCUCACUAAACUAUAACUGACGCUCAGGCACGAAAGCGUGGGGAGCAAACAGGAUUAGAUACCCUGGUAGUCC